This is a long non-coding RNA of Eurytemora carolleeae, 143 nucleotides long. RefSeq lists it as uncharacterized. The transcript has 2 exons. The record is from RefSeq and is a predicted model, not a curated record. NCBI's taxonomy places the organism in Eukaryota, Metazoa, Arthropoda, Copepoda, Calanoida, Temoridae.
GGUUACCCACGAAGGAUGAGACUGUAAAGACGACCCAAAACUCCAAAAAAAUGACAAUUUGAAGCUUAAUUUUUGGUCUCUGCAUUAAAGAAUUCUUGACAGAUUUCAUUAAAAAGUCAAGAAUACAAUAAGUUGAAAAUGAA